RNAcentral lists this unclassified non-coding RNA (432 nucleotides) under soil metagenome. RNAcentral's name for it is "partial contains 5.8S ribosomal RNA, internal transcribed spacer 2, and large subunit ribosomal RNA". The stretch from base 1 to 120 matches the Rfam family "5.8S ribosomal RNA", at positions 35 to 154 of the family's 154-position model. The record is from RNAcentral.
GAUGAAGAACGCAGCGAAAUGCGAUACGUAAUGUGAAUUGCAGAAUUCAGUGAAUCAUCGAAUCUUUGAACGCAUAUUGCGCUCUCUGGUAUUCCGGAGAGCAUGCUUGUUUGAGUAUCAGUAAACACCUCAACUUCCAUAUCUUUUUUGAAAUGGGAGUUGGACUUGAGUGAUCCCAACGCUUUUCCUCACCGAAAAGUGGCGGGUUACUUGAAAUGCAGGUGCAGCUGGACUUUUCUCUGAGCUAUAAGCAUAUCUAUUUAGUCUGCCAAAAAAACAGAUUAUUACCUUUGCUGCAGCUAACAUAAAGGAGAUUAGUUCUUGUGCUGACUGAUGCAGGAUUCACAAAGACGGCUUCGGCCGACUUUGUAAACUCGAUCUCAAAUCAAGUAAGACUACCCGCUGAACUUAAGCAUAUCAAUAAGCGGAGGA